UACGGGGGGGGCAAGCGUUGUUCGGAAUUACUGGGCGUAAAGGGCUCGUAGGCGGCCAACUAAGUCAUACGUGAAAUCCCUCGGCUUAACCGGGGAACUGCGUCUGAUACUGGAUGGCUUGAGUUCGGGAGAGGGAUGCGGAAUUCCAGGUGUAGCGGUGAAAUGCGCAGAUAUCGGGAGGAACACCGGUGGCGAAGGCGGUUCUCUGGGCCUUACCUGACGCUGAGGAGCGAAAGCGUGGGGAGCAAACAGG
Molecule: ribosomal RNA, 253 nt
Filed under: uncultured bacterium
Lineage: Bacteria
Description: partial 16S ribosomal RNA
Rfam family: Bacterial small subunit ribosomal RNA
Source: RNAcentral